Molecule: ribosomal RNA, 430 nt
Filed under: Pseudomonadota bacterium
Lineage: Bacteria; Pseudomonadati; Pseudomonadota
Description: Proteobacteria bacterium partial 16S ribosomal RNA
Rfam family: Bacterial small subunit ribosomal RNA
Source: RNAcentral
UGGGGAAUAUUGGACAAUGGGGGGAACCCUGAUGCAGCCAUGCCGCGUGUGUGAAGAAGGCCUUAUGGUUGUAAAGCACUUUAAGCGAGGAGGAGGGUACUGGUAUUAAUACUACCAGCUACUGGACGUUACUCGCAGAAUAAGCACCGGCUAACUCUGUGCCAGCAGCCGCGGUAAUACAGAGGGUGCGAGCGUUAAUCGGAUUUACUGGGCGUAAAGCGUGCGUAGGCGGCUAAUUGAGUCGGAUGUGAAAUCCCCGAGCUUAACUUGGGAAUUGCAUUCGAUACUGGUUAGCUAGAGUGUGGGAGAGGAUGGUAGAAUUCCAGGUGUAGCGGUGAAAUGCGUAGAGAUCUGGAGGAAUACCGAUGGCGAAGGCAGCCAUCUGGCCUAACACUGACGCUGAGGUACGAAAGCAUGGGGAGCAAACAGG